This 256-nucleotide ribosomal RNA is filed under the name uncultured bacterium. RNAcentral's name for it is "partial 16S ribosomal RNA". It matches the Rfam family "Bacterial small subunit ribosomal RNA", at positions 524 to 777 of the family's 1533-position model. The record is from RNAcentral.
GACAGAGGAUGCAAGCGUUAUCCGGAAUGAUUGGGCGUAAAGCGUCUGUAGGUGGCUUUUUAAGUCCGCCGUCAAUCCCAAGGGCUCAACCCUGGACAGGCGGUGGAAACUACCAAGCUGGAGUACGGUAGGGGCAGAGGGAAUUUCCGGUGGAGGCGGUGAAAUGCGUAGAGAUCGGAAAGAACACCAACGGCGAAAGCACUCGUGCUGGGCCGACACUGACACUGAGAGACGAAAGCUAGGGGAGCGAAUGGGA